CAGACUCGCCAAACUGCUGCCCCGAGCGGCCGAGCCCCCCCCCCCCCCCCCCCCCCCGACCUCGAAAUCCUCCGUCUUCCUCCUCGCCGUGUCGGGCCUCGCCUUGCAUCGUCCCCAAAUCCAACCCAAACUCCUCAAUCUCCGUCACUGGCAUGGCGUCCGAUACCGAGGGCAUCGCCGCCCUCUUCUCAAUGUACAACGACGACGAGGAAGAUGAGGACGCCGACGAGCCCAACCCUCCGUCCCCAGCGCCGCUCACCACCGUCACCUCCUCGUCGCCGCUGUCCCCUCAAGCCGGGGGCGAGGACCCUAACCCUUCCCUGGCGCCUCCGUCGCCUCCCCGUCCCGAGGAGUCGGCCAGUCUCAAAACCCUAGUGAGUCCCCACCCUUCCCCGGCGCGGGCGCUGCUACCGCCACUUCCCUCGCGGCGCUCUUCGUCGCCCUUCGCAGCGUCGCCCCCCUCUCCGCUACGGGGACCAUCCUCCGCGCCGCCAGCCGACCUGCCGCGCCCGCCCCGGCGCGGGGCGCUUGCAAUCGUGGACUAUGCGCACGACGAGAUGGCUAUGUCGCCCGAGCAGGAGGAUGGGGAGAUCAUGAGCCACACAUACAGAUUCGUUUCAGAUGCUCAGGCUGCAGAGGGGAAUCUUGAAGAACGAACUCUCUCUGGCACAGUUCAUAUCAUGACACCAAAUACUCCAGCAGAAUUGUCUCAGCAUGCUGAUGCACCUGAGCAGAACCAAUUAGGGACAGACAUGGCAGUGGAUAUAACUAGAGCAGAAAUUGAAGACGCCCAGGUGGAGGAAACUACUGAUAUUUCAACUAAUGGUGAAAAUGAUGAUCCAUUGAGUCGUUUCCUUCCUCCACCCGUGACUACAAAAUGCUCUGCAGCAUUAAAGGUUAUCCUACUAUCAAAUGAUUAUGAUACCUGUUUUUUCACCAUAAACAACCUAGUCAUGUUUCCAUACAGAAUAUCAGCUUAUGGUGGAACGUCCUCUACUCUUCCUUAUUAUUGUCAUUGAUGAACUCCAUUAUCUACAUUAAAAAUUGAUAAAAUUAUCAUGUCCUGUAAUGUGAAGGCAAAGCUGAACAUCUGCAUCAUACAUUUCCACACCUGUAUCUGUUAACAAGAUAUUGUCAAGAAUAGGCUCAGUCCUAUGUGAUGGCUUUACUUUAUGGGACAAUUGUGAUUAUACCCUUCAUUCAUUGACCUUGCAAUUGUGAUUUAACCUCCAUUUUUCAACUUUGUGAUUUUACCCCUCCGUUUCGAAAAUGAAGCUACCGUUUGCCCGUCCCUCUCAACGCCGAGUGAAAAUCAGGUUUAUUGUUUUAAAAAAUAAAAAUAUGAAAACAAAGGGUGAAAGGUUCGAACCACCCUCCUAUUCUGUAAGGGCGCAACACCAACAGGGGUAAAAUCACAAUUACAUAAUAUAAUGAGGGGUAAAACCACAAUAAAUUGUGUGGGCAUUUUUGCAUCAGAUUUAACACUGUGUGCUGCACAUAAUGGUGCAUGGGUAUGACAGCUUCGUUUUCAAAACGGAGGAGUAAAAUCACAAAGUUGAAAACGAGGUGCAAAAUAACAAUUGCAAGGUCAGAGAGAGUCGUUUUCUCUUCUCAAGUUUUGUGAAAGCAUCAUGAUGAGGUUCCUAUUCAGGCAAUAUUUACACUAGGAAUGUGUCUACACACCUUCACAUUAAUUCCUGUGUUGGUUCUUACAGCCAGUAUUUACUUAAAACUCAUCAUCUGUUGUUUUCUGUUUUUCUGCAGCAAAAAAUUAACAAAUUCCUUGCAUACAAAAGGGCCGGAAAGAGCUUUAAUGCUGAAGUGCGCAACAGGAAGGACUAUAGAAAUCCUGACUUUUUGCAGCAUGCUGUGCGAUACCAAGAAAUUGAUCAGAUAGGGACCUGUUUCAGUAAAGAUGUUUUUGAUCCUUAUGGGUACGAUAAAGGUGACUACUAUGAUGAGAUAGAAGCUGAAAUGAAGCGUGAACUUGAGAGAAAGGAACAGGAGAAGAAAAGGAAUCCAAAAGUUGAAUUUAUUACUGGAGGAGUACAAACUCCACAUAGUGCAUCAAUACCGAAGAUCCCAGGUUUGGCGGGUGUCUGUACACUACCGGUACCUACAGAAGGUGUACAGAAAGAGACUAGGCCAAACAAGAAAUCAAAAUGGGAUAAGGUUGAUGAUGAUGUUAAGAAUCAUGUAGUUCCUAGUGGACACGACAACUUAUCAGCAACUGCUUCUGUGGCACUCCUGACUUCAGCUAAUGUUGGUGCUGGAUAUGCUGCUUUUGCGCAACAAAAGAGAAAAGAAGCUGAAGAAAAGAGAAGCGAUCAUAAGUCAGACAGAAGAUCGUAGCACCACUUUUUUUUUUUCAUUCUGAGCAGUCAGCGUAUCAUUUAGUUUUUCAGUAACAUAGUUUUGUAUUGUGGGUAAGGAAAAGAAGGAAACAGUUAAAAUCAGUCCGAGGGAAAUGGUUCCAGAAAAGCCCCUCAGAGCGACUUGUUGUCUUAUACAGGUAUCAGAAACUUAACGUUUUAGGCCAAGAAAAAGAGAACAGUGAGCGUUCUGCACUUCUGCCCCCCGUUACGGUGGACAAUUACUCCUGUCCUAAAAAGAAUGCACCAAAAUUGAAUGCAAGUAAGUUGCCCGCCA
Molecule: RNA transcript, 2649 nt
Organism: Zea mays
Lineage: Eukaryota; Viridiplantae; Streptophyta; Magnoliopsida; Poales; Poaceae
Gene name: Putative HCNGP-related transcriptional regulator family protein
Exons: 8
Source: RefSeq, a predicted model, not a curated record